Molecule: non-coding RNA, 108 nt
Organism: Aplosporella prunicola CBS 121167
Lineage: Eukaryota; Fungi; Ascomycota; Dothideomycetes; Botryosphaeriales; Aplosporellaceae
Source: the annotation of a RefSeq genome assembly
GGUCGCUUAGCUCAGUUGGUUAGAGCGUGGUGCUAAUAUUUCGGUUUCUCUCAAGAGUUUCCUAUAUAUUAAACGCCAAGGCCGUGGGUUCGACCCCCAUAGUGACCA